UCCUGGGUGGUGCAAAUGGUUAGUGCACUUUCGACUGAUAACCGAAAGGUUGGAGGUUCAAGUCCACUCAGAGGUG
Molecule: transfer RNA, 76 nt
Filed under: Loxodonta africana (African savanna elephant)
Lineage: Eukaryota; Metazoa; Chordata; Mammalia; Proboscidea; Elephantidae
Rfam family: tRNA
About the family: Transfer RNA (tRNA) molecules are approximately 80 nucleotides in length. Their secondary structure includes four short double-helical elements and three loops (D, anti-codon, and T loops).
Source: Rfam by way of RNAcentral